UACGGGGGGGAGCAAGCGUUGUUCGGAUUUACUGGGCGUAAAGGGCGCGUAGGCGGUCAGCACAAGUCAGUUGUGAAAUCUCCGGGCUUAACUCGGAAAGGUCAACUGAUACUGUGCGACUAGAGUGCGGAAGGGGCAACUGGAAUUCUCGGUGUAGCGGUGAAAUGCGUAGAUAUCGAGAGGAACACCUGCGGCGAAGGCGGGUUGCUGGGCCGACACUGACGCUGAUGCGCGAAAAGCCGG
RNAcentral lists this ribosomal RNA (243 nucleotides) under uncultured bacterium. Its description in RNAcentral is "partial 16S ribosomal RNA". It matches the Rfam family "Bacterial small subunit ribosomal RNA", at positions 524 to 764 of the family's 1533-position model. The record is from RNAcentral.